RNAcentral lists this ribosomal RNA (253 nucleotides) under uncultured bacterium. Its description in RNAcentral is "partial 16S ribosomal RNA". It matches the Rfam family "Bacterial small subunit ribosomal RNA", at positions 524 to 776 of the family's 1533-position model. The record is from RNAcentral.
UACAGAGGUGGCAAGCGUUGUUCGGAAUUACUGGGCGUAAAGCGUGCGUAGGUGGUUUGUUAAGUCUGAUGUGAAAGCCCUGGGCUCAACCUGGGAAUGGCAUUGGAUACUGGCGAGCUAGGGUGCGGUAGAGGGUAGUGGAAUUCCCGGUGUAGCAGUGAAAUGCGUAGAGAUCGGGAGGAACAUCUGUGGCGAAGGCGACUACCUGGACCAGCACUGACACUGAGGCACGAAAGCGUGGGGAGCAAACAGG